RNAcentral lists this ribosomal RNA (485 nucleotides) under uncultured bacterium. RNAcentral describes it as "bacterial SSU rRNA". It matches the Rfam family "Bacterial small subunit ribosomal RNA", at positions 30 to 508 of the family's 1533-position model. The record is from RNAcentral.
AUUGAACGCUGGCGGCAGGCCUAACACAUGCAAGUCGAGCGGUAGAGAGAAGCUUGCUUCUCUUGAGAGCGGCGGACGGGUGAGUAAUGCCUAGGAAUCUGCCUGGUAGUGGGGGAUAACGUUCGGAAACGGACGCUAAUACCGCAUACGUCCUACGGGAGAAAGCAGGGGACCUUCGGGCCUUGCGCUAUCAGAUGAGCCUAGGUCGGAUUAGCUAGUUGGUGAGGUAAUGGUUCACCAAGGCGACGAUCCGUAACUGGUCUGAGAGGAUGAUCAGUCACACUGGAACUGAGACACGGUCCAGACUCCUACGGGAGGCAGCAGUGGGGAAUAUUGGACAAUGGGCGAAAGCCUGAUCCAGCCAUGCCGCGUGUGUGAAGAAGGUCUUCGGAUUGUAAAGCACUUUAAGUUGGGAGGAAGGGCAUUAACCUAAUACGUUAGUGUUUUGACGUUACCGACAGAAUAAGCACCGGCUAACUCUGUGC